UACAUCUCUGGUGACAAUGUUAGAGAACGCU
RNAcentral lists this non-coding RNA (31 nucleotides) under Rattus norvegicus (Norway rat). Lineage: Eukaryota; Metazoa; Chordata; Mammalia; Rodentia; Muridae. The record is from RNAcentral.